Molecule: ribosomal RNA, 166 nt
Filed under: uncultured bacterium
Lineage: Bacteria
Description: partial 16S rRNA
Rfam family: Bacterial small subunit ribosomal RNA
Source: RNAcentral
UAGGGAAUCUUCCACAAUGGGCGAAAGCCUGAUGGAGCAACGCCGCGUGUGUGAUGAAGGGUUUCGGCUCGUAAACACUGUUGUAAGAGAAGAAUGACAUUGAGAGUAACUGUUCAAUGUGUGACGGUAUCUUACCAGAAAGGAACGGCUAAAUACGUGCCACCAG